This 253-nucleotide ribosomal RNA is filed under the name uncultured bacterium. RNAcentral's name for it is "partial 16S ribosomal RNA". It matches the Rfam family "Bacterial small subunit ribosomal RNA", at positions 524 to 776 of the family's 1533-position model. The record is from RNAcentral.
UACGGGGGGGGCAAGCGUUGUUCGGAAUUACUGGGCGUAAAGGGCUCGUAGGUGGCCAACUAAGUCAGACGUGAAAUCCCUCAGCUUAACUGGGGAACUGCGUCUGAUACUGGAUGGCUUGAGUUUGGGAGAGGGAUGCGGAAUUCCCGGUGUAGUGGUGAAAUGCGUAGAUAUCGGGAGGAACACCAGUGGCGAAGGCGACUUCCUGGCCUGUUCUUGACGCUGAGGCGCGAAAGCUAGGGGAGCAAACGGG